UCUUGCUUUCACUAGAGAUGCGUGCAGUGUGUGGCCUGAGCUGGCCCUCUGUGGGAAAGGUACUCGUUAAAAUUCGGCUUACUCUGGCCUCCUGUGACCCAGACUGACAGAAAAGAGGAACGCCCUGGGGUCCUUUCCUGGCCUGCUUUGGUCAGGCUUGGACGCAGGUAGCUGCAGGUGCAAUUACACCUUUGGCCACGUGGGGGAGCCCACGUGCCACCACUCACAUUCCACCCAGGAGGCGGGUUUAGUGCCAAACGUCUUUUCUUUGGGUUUAUUUUUCGCUCUCUGCCUCUCUGGCUUCUUGGCCCAGUGCGUUUUCCUCUGUUCUUUA
RNAcentral lists this long non-coding RNA (334 nucleotides) under Androctonus crassicauda. The record is from RNAcentral. Lineage: Eukaryota; Metazoa; Arthropoda; Arachnida; Scorpiones; Buthidae.